GAGUUUGAUCUUGGCUCAGGAUGAACGCUAGCGGCAGGCUUAACACAUGCAAGUCGAGGGGUAGAAGUUGCUUGCAACUUUGAGACCGGCGCACGGGUGCGUAACGCGUAUGCAAUCUACCUUGUACAGGGGGAUAGCCCAGAGAAAUUUGGAUUAAUACCCCAUAGUGUAAUUGAAUGGCAUCAUUUAAUUACUAAAGUUCCAAACGGUACAAGAUGAGCAUGCGUUCCUAUUUAGCUAGUUGGUGUGGUAACGGCA
This 258-nucleotide ribosomal RNA is filed under the name uncultured Flavobacterium sp. RNAcentral describes it as "partial 16S ribosomal RNA". It matches the Rfam family "Bacterial small subunit ribosomal RNA", at positions 9 to 265 of the family's 1533-position model. The record is from RNAcentral. Lineage: Bacteria; Pseudomonadati; Bacteroidota; Flavobacteriia; Flavobacteriales; Flavobacteriaceae.